GCCUCUAUAGCUCAGUCGGCAGAGCAUUUGCUUUGUAAGCAAAAGGCCACCGGUUCAAACCCGGUUGGGGGCU
Blepharisma stoltei is the source of this 73-nucleotide non-coding RNA. The record is from the annotation of a GenBank genome assembly. Lineage: Eukaryota; Ciliophora; Heterotrichea; Heterotrichida; Blepharismidae.